This 776-nucleotide ribosomal RNA is filed under the name uncultured Neocallimastigales. RNAcentral's name for it is "partial large subunit ribosomal RNA". It matches the Rfam family "Eukaryotic large subunit ribosomal RNA", at positions 22 to 639 of the family's 3401-position model. The record is from RNAcentral. Lineage: Eukaryota; Fungi; Neocallimastigomycota; Neocallimastigomycetes; Neocallimastigales.
GUACACGCUGUGACUAGCAUAUCAAUAAGCGGAGGAAAAGAAACUAACAAGGAUUCCCCUAGUAACGGCGAGUGAAGCGGGAAGAGCUCAAAUUUGAAAUCUUAAAGGGUUUCCCUUUACGAAUUGUAGUUUAAAGAAGUGUUUUCUGUUGAGGUUUUGGUAAAAGUUCUUUGGAAUAGGACAUCAUAGAGGGUGAGAAUCCCGUAUUUGACCUUUACUUUCAACUUUGUGAUACACUUUCAAAGAGUCGGAUUGUUUGGGAAUGCAGUCCAAAAUGGGUGGUAAAUUUCAUCUAAAGCUAAAUAUUGGCGAGAGACCGAUAGCGAACAAGUACCGUGAGGGAAAGAUGAAAAGAACUUUGAAAAGAGAGUUAAACAGUACGUGAAAUUGUCAAAAGGGAAGCGUUUGACACCAGUGUUGUUUUUCUGAAAAUCAAUUAAAGAACUGUUUAUGCUAAGCUGUUUAGACUUUAUUCAGCUAUCUGUUUAGUUUUGAGCUUUUCUUUAAUGCACUUUUCAGUUAACAAGUCAACAUCAAUUUCUCUUUGCUGUAAAAAAGCUUGAGGAAGGUGGCUUGAGAUUCGUCUUAAGUGUUUAUAGCCUCUUGCCUAUGCAGUCGGAGAGAUUGAGGUCUGCAGCGUAGAUCCUUCGGGGCUAAAUGCAUUUGUGCUAAGUUAUAGCAUUUUAUAGACAACUUGUUGACUAUGAUUUGUCUUGUAGCUUACUCGCUUAUGUUAUUUUACCUACGCUUAGGAUGUUGACGCGCGUGUGUGCGUG